RNAcentral lists this ribosomal RNA (511 nucleotides) under uncultured bacterium. RNAcentral's name for it is "partial 16S ribosomal RNA". It matches the Rfam family "Bacterial small subunit ribosomal RNA", at positions 28 to 507 of the family's 1533-position model. The record is from RNAcentral.
GACAAACGCUGGCGGCAUGCCUAACACAUGCAAGUCGAACGGACAGAACAGGGAAGCUUUUCGGAGUGGAACUGGAAAGUUAGUGGCGGAUGGGUGAGUAACGCGUGGACAACCUACCUUGUAAAGGGGAAUAACCUCGAGAAAUCGAAGCUAAUACCCCAUAAUAACCUUGCUUCGCAUGAAGUAAGGAGGAAAGGCGGCCUUAGCGCUGUCGAUACAAGAUGGGUCCGCGUCUGAUUAGCUAGUUGGUGAGGUAAAGGCUCACCAAGGCGACGAUCAGUAGCCGGCAUGAGAGGGUGAACGGCCACAUUGGGACUGAGACACGGCCCAAACUCCUACGGGAGGCAGCAGUGGGGAAUCUUCCGCAAUGGGCGAAAGCCUGACGGAGCAAUGCCGCGUGAGUGAAGAAGGCCUUCGGGUUGUAAAACUCUGUCCUUAUCGAAGAGAGAGUGUUGUAGUAACUGACAAUACUAGGACGGUAGAUGAGGAGGAAGCCCCGGCUAACUAUGUG